Molecule: non-coding RNA, 1015 nt
Organism: Penaeus vannamei (Pacific white shrimp)
Lineage: Eukaryota; Metazoa; Arthropoda; Malacostraca; Decapoda; Penaeidae
Source: RefSeq, a predicted model, not a curated record
AUGCAUCAGUGGGUUAAUGACAAACAUGUGGUAUCUGGCAUCAGCAUCACUAUGGUGGACUUGACUACUUGCUGCCAGAGGACCUGUCCCCAGCCCAGACUUCCGAACAUUUGGCUUGCCAUUGAGAUAAUGAAACUCAAGCACAUUCUUAUCCUUCAAAAAGAUUGAUCUGUGUCGAGAGUCGCAGCUGCGUGAACAGUAUGACCAGAUUCUUAGGUUCAUUCAGGGCACAGUAGCCGAGGGCGCCCCUGUCAUCCCCAUCUCGGCUCAGCUAAAGCUCAACAUUGAUGUGGUGUGUGAGUACAUCAUGAAGAAAAUCCCUACCCCUAACCGUGACUUCAUGGCUGAGCCACGGCUGAUCGUCAUUCGUUCCUUCGAUGUCAACAAGCCAGGCUGUGAGGUAGAUGACCUCAAGGGGGGAGUUGCUGGAGGAUCUAUUUUGAGAGGAGUGCUCAAGGUUGGCCAAGAAAUUGAAGUUCGUCCUGGUAUCAUUGAACGUGAGGCUGAAUCAGGACGUGUUGUUUGCAAACCCAUUCGAUCAAGAAUCAUUUCUCUCUUCACCGAAACCAAUGAACUCCAGUUUGCUGUACCUGGUGGACUGAUUGGUGUCGGAACGAAAAUUGACCCAACACUUUGUCGUGCUGAUCGUAUGGUGGGCCAAGUCUUGGGUGCUGUUGGUUCACUCCCAGAGAUUUUCACUGAGCUUGAAAUUUCGUACUUCCUGCUUAGGAGAUUGCUUGGUGUCCGCACAGAAGGAGACAAGAAGGGAGCAAAGGUUCAAAAACUGUCAAAGAAUGAGAUGCUUAUGGUGAACAUUGGAUCCUUAUCAACUGGUGGCAGAGUCCUGGCUGUAAGGGCUGAUUUGGCCAAGAUCACUCUCACACAACCUGUAUGCACAGAAGAGGGAGAAAAGAUUGCCCUCUCACGCAGAAUUGACAAACAUUGGCGACUCAUCGGUUGGGGACAGAUUCGACGUGGUGUUACCAUCAAGCCAGAAUCUACAUAAAAAAAGAAA